CUAGCUGUAAACGAUGGGUACUAGGCGUUGAGAGUAUCGACCCUCUCAGUGUCGUAGCUAACACGUUAAGUAUCCCGCCUGGGGAGUACGCGCGCAAGCGUGAAACUCAAAGGAAUUGACGGGGGCCCGCACAAGCGGUGGAGUAUGUGGUUUAAUUCGAUGCAACGCGAAGAACCUUACCAGGGCUUGACAUGUCCGGAACCCUGCCCAAAGGCGGGGGUGCCUACGGGAACCGGAACACAGGUGGUGC
Molecule: ribosomal RNA, 250 nt
Filed under: uncultured Chroococcidiopsis sp.
Lineage: Bacteria; Bacillati; Cyanobacteriota; Cyanophyceae; Chroococcidiopsidales; Chroococcidiopsidaceae
Description: partial 16S ribosomal RNA
Rfam family: Bacterial small subunit ribosomal RNA
Source: RNAcentral